GACGAACGCUGGCGGCGUGCUUAACACAUGCAAGUCGAACGGAAAGGCCCUGCUUUUGUGGGGUGCUCGAGUGGCGAACGGGUGAGUAACACGUGAGUAACCUGCCCUUGACUUUGGGAUAACUUCAGGAAACUGGGGCUAAUACCGGAUAGGAGCUCCUGCUGCAUGGUGGGGGUUGGAAAGUUUCGGCGGUUGGGGAUGGACUCGCGGCUUAUCAGCUUGUUGGUGGGGUAGUGGCUUACCAAGGCUUUGACGGGUAGCCGGCCUGAGAGGGUGACCGGCCACAUUGGGACUGAGGUACGGGCCAGACUCCUACGGGAGGCAGCAGUGGGGAAUCCUGCACAAUGGGCGGAAGCCUGAUGCAGCAACGCCGCGUGCGGGAUGACGGCCUUCGGGUUGUAAACCGCUUUCGCCUGUGACGAAGCGUGAGUGACGGUAAUGGGUAAAGAAGCACCGGCUAACUACGUG
RNAcentral lists this ribosomal RNA (468 nucleotides) under uncultured bacterium. RNAcentral's name for it is "partial 16S ribosomal RNA". It matches the Rfam family "Bacterial small subunit ribosomal RNA", at positions 28 to 507 of the family's 1533-position model. The record is from RNAcentral.